GCCCCAGUAGCUUAACGGUAGAGCACCUGACUUGUAAUCAGGAGGUUCCGUGUUCAAAUCACGGCUGGGGCU
RNAcentral lists this transfer RNA (72 nucleotides) under Candidatus Woesearchaeota archaeon. Its description in RNAcentral is "tRNA-Thr". It matches the Rfam family "tRNA". From Rfam's summary of the family: Transfer RNA (tRNA) molecules are approximately 80 nucleotides in length. Their secondary structure includes four short double-helical elements and three loops (D, anti-codon, and T loops). The record is from RNAcentral. Lineage: Archaea; Nanobdellati; Candidatus Woesearchaeota.